AUACGGAGGGUGCAAGCGUUAUUCGGAAUCACUGGGCGUAAAGGACGCGUAGGCGGGUUGGCAAGUCAGAUGUGAAAUCCUACAGCUUAUCUGUAGAACUGCAUUUGAAACUGCUAACCUAGAGUAUGGGAGGGGGAGAUGGAAUUAGUGGUGUAGGGGUAAAAUCCGUAGAUAUCACUAGGAAUACCGAAAGCGAAGGCGAUCUCCUGGAACAUAACUGACGCUAAGGCGUGAAAGCGUGGGGAGCAAACAGGAUUAGAAACCCCAGUAGUCC
Molecule: ribosomal RNA, 274 nt
Filed under: uncultured bacterium
Lineage: Bacteria
Description: partial 16S ribosomal RNA
Rfam family: Bacterial small subunit ribosomal RNA
Source: RNAcentral